GGUGUAUCCAAAUGCAGAUUAGUCUCAGGGAUGCCAUGUCAGUUAAGAGUAAUCUAUGGUCCUUUCAAAACUCUUGCUGGGUUUUGCCUAAGAUUCGAAGCCUAAAGCUCUGAAUUCUGACCUCCCUGAUUACUGACUGAGGAAACAAUAUCCCCAAAAUGGAAAGCUCCAGGUCUGUGUGCUUAGAUUUAGGCUCCAAGGACUGAACACCCUGCAUGUAAGGUGUGUGUCUAAGCAGUAUUUAUGACAUAACAAACCAGCCAAGAGCUGGAGGUUCUGAUCAGCAAAUAAGGAAGGAACAACAUCUGACAUCUUUACCCACUUUAACUGUGAGUAUAUGAAAUCUAGGCAACAAAAUAAAUAGAACAGAGACUGGAAGACGUGAUGCUUCCUGGGAGAACAUGUGCCCCAUCAAGCAAAGAACUUGUAAUACGCUGAAUGCUGCAUAGAAGGUUUUGAAACUACUUACCUGCUGUGGAACACCUGUAUAACUUUAAAAUGCAUCAAUCAAUCUCGAGAGUAUGAUCAUGCUUCCUGCUUUUAAGGAUCUGAAGUUAACUGCAACUCCAAGUAUACAAGACUUCUUUGGGACCCAUGGAAGCAUCUCUACAUGCUCAUGUUUGCCAGAUUCAGUGGCCUCCUGAAACCUGGCCCUAGCUAAUAAGUUAAAAAGCUCUAAGUAAUCCCGAGCUGCAUUUGAAUCUCCAAGAUCACUUGUUCAUGGGUUGGUAAUACUUUAAAGAGCCAUUUGUUUAACUGCUAAUCUGGAUCUUAUAUUCUGAGCCCCAGCUUUUUUCUAAAGCAAAGAAAAUACAAAAUAAAAGUAAGACCAAAUGCCUUUGUACCAUGGAGAGAGAAAUGACUCAUUGGAAUGCUUCUGUUUUUCAUCACAUCAAAGAUGCAUCAACAUAAAUCAACCAUUAUAUCAUGCACCAUGAUAAAAAAGGGGGAUAAAAGUCCCCAAACCACUGCCAAUUAAACCAACACAGUGCCUUUGUAUUAUUCAGAAUUUUUAUCUUAGCCUUAUUGAAAGAGCUUUUUUAGAACAUAUUUAAACAAUUCUGUCAUAUUUCAUUCUUGCAUACUCAUUAAAAAGGAAAAUAUGAGAGAUACAAAUGAAAGGUUUCCAAAAGUUUCCUCUCAUUCAGAAUCCAAUUCUUCAGAAUUAUUUUGCAACCCAGACUCUUUGAUGUCCUCGUUUUCCCACCAAAUAUGUUAUCAAGAGCAUGGUAGGGCAGAGUUUCUUAGAAGAAGGCAAUGUUAUUGUCAUUGAACACUGGCACUCAUCCUACAAGUUUUGAUUUUGGCCUCUUUUUUUCUGUGGGGUGGGGGGCAGGGUCUCGCUCUGUUGCCCAGGCUGGAGUGCAGUGGCACAGUCAUGGAUCACUGCAGCCUUGGCCUCCUGGGCUCAAGUCGUCCUCCCACCUCAGCCUCCCAAGUAGCUGAGACCGC
RNAcentral lists this long non-coding RNA (1452 nucleotides) under Homo sapiens (human). RNAcentral describes it as "HSALNT0299382". Lineage: Eukaryota; Metazoa; Chordata; Mammalia; Primates; Hominidae. The record is from RNAcentral.